RNAcentral lists this ribosomal RNA (895 nucleotides) under uncultured bacterium. RNAcentral's name for it is "bacterial SSU rRNA". It matches the Rfam family "Bacterial small subunit ribosomal RNA", at positions 8 to 916 of the family's 1533-position model. The record is from RNAcentral.
AGAGUUUGAUCCUGGCUCAGGACGAACGCUGGCGGCGUGCUUAACACAUGCAAGUCGAACGGAAAGGCCCCUUUGGGGGUACUCGAGUGGCGAACGGGUGAGUAACACGUGAGUAACCUGCCCUCGACUUCGGGAUAACUUCAGGAAACCGGGGCUAAUGCCGGAUAGGAAUCCUUGCUGCAUGGUGGGGGUUGGAAAGCUUCGGCGGUUUUGGAUGGACUCGCGGCUUAUCAGCUUGUUGGUGGGGUAGUGGCUUACCAAGGCUUUGACGGGUAGCCGGCCUGAGAGGGCGACCGGCCACAUUGGGACUGAGAUACGGCCCAGACUCCUACGGGAGGCAGCAGUGGGGAAUAUUGCACAAUGGGCGGAAGCCUGAUGCAGCAACGCCGCGUGCGGGAUGACGGUCUUCGGGUUGUAAACCGCUUUCAGCAGGGGCGAAGCUUUUGUGACGGUACCUGCAGAAGAAGCACCGGCUAACUACGUGCCAGCAGCCGCGGUGAUACGUAGGGUGCGAGCGUUGUCCGGAUUUAUUGGGCGUAAAGAGCUCGUAGGUGGUUGAUUGCGUCGGAAGUGAAAACUUGGGGCUUAACCCUGAGCGUGCUUUCGAUACGGGUUGACUUGAGGAAGGUAGGGGAGAAUGGAAUUCCUGGUGGAGCGGUGGAAUGCGCAGAUAUCAGGAGGAACACCAGUGGCGAAGGCGGUUCUCUGGACCUUUCCUGACGCUGAGGAGCGAAAGCGUGGGGAGCGAACAGGCUUAGAUACCCUGGUAGUCCACGCCGUAAACGGUGGGUACUAGGUGUGGGGUCCAUUCCACGGAUUCCGUGCCGUAGCUAACGCAUUAAGUACCCCGCCUGGGGAGUACGGCCGCAAGGCUAAAACUCAAAGGAAUUGACGG